This 322-nucleotide ribosomal RNA is filed under the name uncultured bacterium. Its description in RNAcentral is "bacterial SSU rRNA". It matches the Rfam family "Bacterial small subunit ribosomal RNA", at positions 196 to 507 of the family's 1533-position model. The record is from RNAcentral.
AAGUUUAAAAGAUGGUCUUGCUAUCACUAAGAGAUGGUCCGCGGUGUAUUAGUUAGUUGGUGAGGUAAUGGCUCACCAAGACAAUGAUACAUAGCCGAGUUGAGAGACUGACCGGCCACAAUGGGACUGAGACACGGCCCAUACUCCUACGGGAGGCAGCAGUAGGGAAUCUUCCACAAUGGACGAAAGUCUGAUGGAGCAACGCCGCGUGUGUGAUGAAGGGUUUCGGCUCGUAAAACACUGUUGUAAGAGAAGAAUGACAUUGAGAGUAACUGUUCAAUGUGUGACGGUAUCUUACCAGAAAGGAACGGCUAAAUACGUG